Molecule: ribosomal RNA, 464 nt
Filed under: uncultured bacterium
Lineage: Bacteria
Description: bacterial SSU rRNA
Rfam family: Bacterial small subunit ribosomal RNA
Source: RNAcentral
GGUAUGCUUAACACAUGCAAGUCGAACGGAAACGAUACUAGCUUGCUAGUAGGCGUCGAGUGGCGGACGGGUGAGUAACGCGUAGGAAUCUACCUGAUAGUGGGGGAUAGCCCGAAGAAAUUCGGAUUAAUACCGCAUAAUCUAUUCGUAGUAAAGUGGGGGACUUUCGAGCCUCACGCUAUCAGAUGAGCCUGCGUAAGAUUAGCUAGUUGGUAGGGUAAAAGCCUACCAAGGCGACGAUCUUUAGCUGGUCUGAGAGGAUGAUCAGCCACAUCGGGACUGAGACACGGCCCGAACUCCUACGGGAGGCAGCAGUGGGGAAUAUUGGACAAUGGGGGCAACCCUGAUCCAGCAAUACCGCGUGUGUGAAGAAGGCCUGAGGGUUGUAAAGCACUUUCAAUUGUGAAGAAAAGCUAGUGGUUAAUAGCCAUUAGCCUUGACGUUAACUUAGAAGAAGCACCGGC